RNAcentral lists this ribosomal RNA (301 nucleotides) under uncultured bacterium. Its description in RNAcentral is "partial 16S ribosomal RNA". It matches the Rfam family "Bacterial small subunit ribosomal RNA", at positions 510 to 808 of the family's 1533-position model. The record is from RNAcentral.
AGUCGCCGCGGGAAUACGUAGGUGGCAAGCGUUGUCCGGAAUUAUUGGGCGUAAAGGGCUCGCAGGCGGUUUCUUAAGUCUGAUGCGAAAGCCCCCGGCUCAACCGGGGAGGGUCAUUGGAAACUGGGAAACUUGAGUGCAGAAGAGGAGAGUGGAAUUCCACGUGUAGCGGUGAAAUGCGAAGAGAUGUGGAGGAACACCAGUGGCGAAGGCGACUCUCUGGUCUGUAACUGACGCUGAGGGGCGAAAGCGUGGGGAGCGAACAGGAUUAGAUACCCGCGUAGUCCCUGUCUCUUAUACC